UACGGAGGGUGCAAGCGUUAUCCGGAUUCACUGGGCGUAAAGCGUGCGCAGGCGGUCUGCUAAGAGAGGGGUGAAAUCCCCGGGCUUAACCUGGGAACUGCGCUUCUAACUGGCAGGCUUGAGUGUGGCAGAGGGGGGUGGAAUUCCACGUGUAGCAGUGAAAUGCGUAGAGAUGUGGAGGAACACCGAUGGCGAAGGCAGCCCCCUGGGCUAACACUGACGCUCAUGCACGAAAGCGUGGGGAGCAAACAGG
Molecule: ribosomal RNA, 253 nt
Filed under: uncultured bacterium
Lineage: Bacteria
Description: partial 16S ribosomal RNA
Rfam family: Bacterial small subunit ribosomal RNA
Source: RNAcentral